RNAcentral lists this ribosomal RNA (496 nucleotides) under uncultured bacterium. Its description in RNAcentral is "partial 16S ribosomal RNA". It matches the Rfam family "Bacterial small subunit ribosomal RNA", at positions 28 to 506 of the family's 1533-position model. The record is from RNAcentral.
GAUGAACGCUGGCGGCGUGCCUAAUACAUGCAAGUCGAGCGAACAGAUAAGGAGCUUGCUCCUUUGACGUUAGCGGCGGACGGGUGAGUAACACGUGGGUAACCUACCUAUAAGACUGGAAUAACUCCGGGAAACCGGGGCUAAUGCAGGAUAACAUGUUGAACCGCAUGGUUCUACAGUGAAAGGCGGCUUUGCUGUCACUUAUAGAUGGACCCGCGCCGUAUUAGCUAGUUGGUGAGGUAACGGCUCACCAAGGCAACGAUACGUAGCCGACCUGAGAGGGUGAUCGGCCACACUGGAACUGAGACACGGUCCAGACUCCUACGGGAGGCAGCAGUAGGGAAUCUGCCGCAAUGGGCGAAAGCCUGACGGAGCAACGCCGCGGGAGUGAUGAAGGUCUUCGGAUCGUAAAACUCUGUUAUUAGGGAAGAACAAAUGCGUAAGUAACUGUGCGCGUCUGGACGGUACCUAAUCAGAAAGCCACGGCUAACUACGU